This 822-nucleotide ribosomal RNA is filed under the name uncultured bacterium. Its description in RNAcentral is "bacterial SSU rRNA". It matches the Rfam family "Bacterial small subunit ribosomal RNA", at positions 8 to 847 of the family's 1533-position model. The record is from RNAcentral.
AGAGUUUGAUCCUGGCUCAGGACGAACGCUGGCGGCGUGCUUAACACAUGCAAGUCGAGCGGAAAGGCCCUUCGGGGUACUCGAGCGGCGAACGGGUGAGUAACACGUGAGUAAUCUGCCCCUAGCUCUGGGAUAGCUCCGGGAAACCGGGAUUAAUACCAGAUAUGACCACUUUAGACAUCUGCUGUGGUGGAAAGAAUUUCGGCUAGGGAUGAGCUCGCGGCCUAUCAGCUUGUUGGUGGGGUAACGGCCUACCAAGGCGACGACGGGUAGCCGGCCUGAGAGGGCGACCGGCCACACUGGGACUGAGACACGGCCCAGACUCCUACGGGAGGCAGCAGUGGGGAAUAUUGCGCAAUGGGCGAAAGCCUGACGCAGCGACGCCGCGUGGGGGAUGAAGGCCUUCGGGUUGUAAACCCCUUUCAGCAGGGACGAAGCGAAAGUGACGGUACCUGCAGAAGAAGCGCCGGCUAACUACGUGCCAGCAGCCGCGGUAACACGUAGGGCGCAAGCGUUGUCCGGAAUUAUUGGGCGUAAAGAGCUCGUAGGCGGUCUGUUGCGUCCGCUGUGAAAACUCGGGGCUUAACCCCGAGCCUGCAGUGGAUACGGGCAGACUAGAGGUAGGUAGGGGAGAAUGGAAUUCCCGGUGUAGCGGUGAAAUGCGCAGAUAUCGGGAGGAACACCGGUGGCGAAGGCGGUUCUCUGGGCCUUACCUGACGCUGAGGAGCGAAAGCGUGGGGAGCGAACAGGAUUAGAUACCCUGGUAGUCCACGCCGUAAACGUUGGGCGCUAGGUGUGGGAUCCUUCCACGGAUUCCGUGCU